AAAUUGAAGAGUUUGAUCAUGGCUCAGAUUGAACGCUGGCGGCAGGCCUAACACAUGCAAGUCGAGCGGUAGCACAGAGAGCUUGCUCUCGGGUGACGAGCGGCGGACGGGUGAGUAAUGUCUGGGAAACUGCCUGAUGGAGGGGGGAUAACUACUGGAAACGGUAGCUAAUACCGCAUAACGUCGCAAGACCAAAGUGGGGGACCUUCGGGCCUCAUGCCAUCAGAUGUGCCCAGAUGGGAUUAGCUAGUAGGUGGGGUAACGGCUCACCUAGGCGACGAUCCCUAGCUGGUCUGAGAGGAUGACCAGCCACACUGGAACUGAGACACGGUCCAGACUCCUACGGGAGGCAGCAGUGGGGAAUAUUGCACAAUGGGCGCAAGCCUGAUGCAGCCAUGCCGCGUGUGUGAAGAAGGCCUUCGGGUUGUAAAGCACUUUCAGCGGGGAGGAAGGCGUUAAGGUUAAUAACCUUGGCGAUUGACGUUACCCGCAGAAGAAGCACCGGCUAACUCCGUGCCAGCAGCCGCGGUAAUACGGAGGGUGCAAGCGUUAAUCGGAAUUACUGGGCGUAAAGCGCACGCAGGCGGUCUGUCAAGUCGGAUGUGAAAUCCCCGGGCUCAACCUGGGAACUGCAUUCGAAACUGGCAGGCUAGAGUCUUGUAGAGGGGGGUAGAAUUCCGGUGUAGCGGUGAAAUGCGUAGAGAUCUGGAGGAAUACCGGUGGCGAAGGCGGCCCCCUGGACAAAGACUGACGCUCAGGUGCGAAAGCGUGGGGAGCAAACAGGAUUAGAUACCCUGGUAGUCCACGCCGUAAACGAUGUCGAUUUGGAGGUUGUGCCCUUGAGGCGUGGCUUCCGGAGCUAACGCGUUAAAUCGACCGCCUGGGGAGUACGGCCGCAAGGUUAAAACUCAAAUGAAUUGACGGGGGCCCGCACAAGCGGUGGAGCAUGUGGUUUAAUUCGAUGCAACGCGAAGAACCUUACCUGGUCUUGACAUCCACAGAACUUUCCAGAGAUGGAUUGGUGCCUUCGGGAACUGUGAGACAGGUGCUGCAUGGCUGUCGUCAGCUCGUGUUGUGAAAUGUUGGGUUAAGUCCCGCAACGAGCGCAACCCUUAUCCUUUGUUGCCAGCGGUUCGGCCGGGAACUCAAAGGAGACUGCCAGUGAUAAACUGGAGGAAGGUGGGGAUGACGUCAAGUCAUCAUGGCCCUUACGACCAGGGCUACACACGUGCUACAAUGGCAUAUACAAAGAGAAGCGACCUCGCGAGAGCAAGCGGACCUCAUAAAGUAUGUCGUAGUCCGGAUUGGAGUCUGCAACUCGACUCCAUGAAGUCGGAAUCGCUAGUAAUCGUAGAUCAGAAUGCUACGGUGAAUACGUUCCCGGGCCUUGUACACACCGCCCGUCACACCAUGGGAGUGGGUUGCAAAAGAAGUAGGUAGCUUAACCUUCGGGAGGGCGCUUACCACUUUGUGAUUCAUGACUGGGGUGAAGUCGUAACAAGGUAACCGUAGGGGAACCUGCGGUUGGAUCACCUCCUUA
RNAcentral lists this ribosomal RNA (1540 nucleotides) under Klebsiella pneumoniae. RNAcentral's name for it is "bacterial SSU rRNA". It matches the Rfam family "Bacterial small subunit ribosomal RNA". Lineage: Bacteria; Pseudomonadati; Pseudomonadota; Gammaproteobacteria; Enterobacterales; Enterobacteriaceae. The record is from RNAcentral.